RNAcentral lists this ribosomal RNA (788 nucleotides) under uncultured bacterium. RNAcentral's name for it is "bacterial SSU rRNA". It matches the Rfam family "Bacterial small subunit ribosomal RNA", at positions 18 to 787 of the family's 1533-position model. The record is from RNAcentral.
CCUGGCUCAGAUUGAACGCUGGCGGCAUGCCUUACACAUGCAAGUCGAACGGCAGCGCGGACUUCGGUCUGGCGGCGAGUGGCGAACGGGUGAGUAACAUAUCGGAACGUGCCCUGGAGUGGGGGAUAACUAGUCGAAAGAUUAGCUAAUACCGCAUACGAUCCAUGGAUGAAAGUGGGGGACCGCAAGGCCUCAUGCUCGUGGAGCGGCCGAUAUCUGAUUAGCUAGUUGGUGGGGUAAAGGCCCACCAAGGCAUCGAUCAGUAGCUGGUCUGAGAGGACGACCAGCCACACUGGGACUGAGACACGGCCCAGACUCCUACGGGAGGCAGCAGUGGGGAAUUUUGGACAAUGGGGGCAACCCGGAUCCAGCAAUGCCGCGUGAGUGAAGAAGGCCUUCGGGUUGUAAAGCUCUUUUGUCAGGGAAGAAACGGCGGAGGCUAAUAUCCUCUGCUAAUGACGGUACCUGUAGAAUAAGCACCGGCUAACUACGUGCCAGCAGCCGCGGUAAUACGUAGGGUGCGAGCGUUAAUCGGAAUUACUGGGCGUAAAGCGUGCGCAGGCGGUUGUGCAAGACAGAUGUGAAAUCCCCGGGCUCAACCUGGGAAUUGCAUUUGUGACUGCACGGCUAGAGUGUGUCAGAGGGGGGGGUAGAAAUUCCACGUGUAGCAGUGAAAUGCGGUAGAGAUGUGGAGGGAAUACCGGAUGGCGAAAGGCAGCCCCCUGGGAUAAACACUGACGCUCAUGCACGAGAGGCGGUGGGGGGAGCCAAACAGGGAUUAGAUACCC